UGUCAUCUCCCCUUGUAGUGUCAGUGUAGCUGUCUUUGCCACAAGUCUAAGAGGAAUAACCUGCAACCUUACGAUCCAAAAUGAAAAAAGGCUGGAGCUAUGUGGGCGCUGUCGCCACGCUGACGUUACUGGUGUCGCUCUCUCAUGUUGUGGUCGGAGACGAUGCAAUCGUCAUGGGCAUUCAGGGGGAACUCGGGAAAAUUGAGGAUUCUCUGAAUGAGCUGGUGCAGGUGGUGGAUCCCCCGACCACGUCAACUGUCUCACCGUCCUCAACCGGGUCUUCGGGAGGCCCGGUUUCAUCAGACACCUCAUCAGUGUUACCAUCAUCUACGACUGGAUCCCCAACUGAGCCGCCAGUUUCUUCAACUACGACAGGAUCACCAACUGAGCCGCCAGUUUCUUCAACUACGACAGGAUCACCAACUGAACCGCCAGUUUCUUCAACUACGACAGGAUCACCAACUGAGCCGCCAGUUUCUUCAACUACGACAGGAUCCCCAACUGAGCCGCCAGUUUCUUCAACUACGACAGGAUCACCAACUGAGCCGCCAGUUUCUUCAACUACGACAGGAUCACCAACUGAGCCGCCAGUUUCUUCAACUACGACAGAAUCACCAACUGAGCCGCAAGUUUCUUCAACUACGACACCGACUGAGCCAGAAUCAGUCGAAGAGCAUAACGGAGAAAAACGAUCCGAAGACACCCAAUCCUCAACCGAACCGCCCCAGUCUUCCUCAACCGAACAGCCCCAGUCUUCCUCAACCGAACAGCCCCAAUCCUCCUCAAGCCAACAGCCCCAGUCUUCCUCAACCGAACAGCCCCAAUCUUCCUCAACCGAACAGCCCCAAUCCUCCUCAACCGAACAGCCCCAAUCCUCCUCAAGCCAACAGCCCCAGUCUUCCUCAAGUGAACCUCCGUCAACCACUCCACCCCCCGCCGUCUGCUCAACCGACGACGACGCCGCCGACGACCUGUGCCUGCGCCUGACUUCGGUCCUGAACGACAUCGAGGCCGCUUCGAAGACCGUGGCCGAGGGGACCAUGGAGCAGAACGAGCUGGACGACCUGAGGAACUGCUCCUCGAGACUCGACGACGUGAUCGAGGACAUGCGAAACGACACGACCUUUGUCGAGAGUCGCGUCGACGUGGAGGCGUUGAAGACGAGGAAGGAGGCGCUCGACCAGAUCCUGGCAGAGGCCACCCAAGAGGUGGAGGAAAGACUCAACGGCGGGGAUGACCCUGACCAAGUCCUCGCCAUUGUCCUCGGCACUCUAGGAGGUCUCGUAGCCGUCGGCAUCGUCGGAUGGGUGGGCUUCUCCUUCUACAAGAAAAACAAGAACAAGAAGAAGCGAGCGAACGACAUGGAGAAUGGCCAGAGCAACAGCGCAUACGCCGGCAGUAGCAGCAGAUUGGACUAGAAAAUGGGUUAUUCUAUAGAGAACUUUCGUAUUCUCACAUUGCCUUUUUGACAGAAGAACCAUGAUAUGGCUGUUUGCGUAAUAAAAGACAAACAUAU
Molecule: unclassified non-coding RNA, 1516 nt
Filed under: Penaeus japonicus
Lineage: Eukaryota; Metazoa; Arthropoda; Malacostraca; Decapoda; Penaeidae
Description: flocculation protein FLO11-like, transcript variant X4
Source: RNAcentral